UACGGGGGGGGCAAGCGUUGUUCGGAAUUACUGGGCGUAAAGGGCCAGUAGGCGGCCAACUAAGUCGGAUGUGAAAUCCCCAGGCUUAACCUGGGAACUGCAUCCGAUACUGGAUGGCUUGAAUUCGGGAGAGGGAUGCAGAAUUCCAGGUGUAGCGGUGAAAUGCGUAGAUAUCUGGAGGAAUACCGGUGGCGAAGGCGGCAUCCUGGACCGACACUGACGCUGAACGGCGAAAGCUAGGGGAGCAAACGGG
This 253-nucleotide ribosomal RNA is filed under the name uncultured bacterium. RNAcentral describes it as "partial 16S ribosomal RNA". It matches the Rfam family "Bacterial small subunit ribosomal RNA", at positions 524 to 776 of the family's 1533-position model. The record is from RNAcentral.